GUGGCAGAUCCAACCCCGGCAAUCCUUCCUUGGAUCACUCAUAUGGAAAUAACGCACAAGCUUGACAGCCCAUUUUUGACUCGUCGGCUGCUGGCUUGGCUGUUUCCCCCGACGGUUAGCGCUGGCUGUGCAGCAUGGGGGCUUGGUGAUAGGACUGUAACCAAUGCUGGCGCUUUGAUGAUAUGACGUAAGCUGCAGUAUCCUGAAACCCAACGGCAUCGUCAUUCGUUAGGCCGAGAGGACGCGGGAUGGUUACUAUUGACUUCGUUGAAAAGGCACAAAGAGGUGAAAAGUGGGCUGAAUGCCGAGAUAUGCCGAACACGCAGUAGGCUAGCCAAGACUUUGGGUCUGGCGUUCCCCGGUAUCCUCAACUGAAAUUUAGUCCAAGCACAGGGGGGCCAGCAGAUAUCGCCCCUAGUCAGAGCGACGCAUUAUUGACACACUGAAAACGGCUUGGUCCGGGGUGGACUCAAAUUGGAAAACCCAAAGUGGUGAGCCUACCUCACCAGGAGACACGCUUAGUCCUGGGCGGAAUUCCGUGUGGUCGAGGCGUGGCGCCCAGCAAUUUGGCAGU
This 574-nucleotide small RNA is filed under the name Histoplasma ohiense. RNAcentral's name for it is "hypothetical lncRNA". The record is from RNAcentral. Lineage: Eukaryota; Fungi; Ascomycota; Eurotiomycetes; Onygenales; Ajellomycetaceae.